GCUCAAGUAAUCCUCCCACCUCAGCCUCCCAAAGUAUCUGAAUUACAGGUGAGCCACUGUGCCUGGUCAGCAGGUGGUGUUUUGAGUCCUUCCUAUAAUAACUCUUUGUUGAGCACCAACUACAUGCUAUUGUCCUGGGCCCGGCCCCAAGAUGGUCAUUACUGUGCACAUUGUAAUGCAGCAAGUAUGGAAUUUGCAACCAACACCCAGAUCUUCCGAUAAGUUCCUCCUCUUACCAGCAUGCAAUCCUAGGCAAGUCAUUUUCCUUCUCUGCAUCUCCAUCUCCUUACCUGAAACAAGCAGAGAAGAUUUACAACACUCAUUGAGAUUAUACACCUCAUGCAGUCCUGGCACAAGAUAGGAAUUAAUGUAUUCAUUAUUUCCUUCUUCCUUUCCACAUGUCUGCAUCAGUUAUGUGUGCUAAGUACUCCACACAGCUCAGAGAUGGGAACUUUUGAAACUCUUCUGAUCUAGUGCAAAUGUUCUGGGGAUGGCGAGGAUCUGGAGAAGUCCGGACACAGAGUAAAUCAGGUUGGAGAGAGAUUUUUUUAAAGACAUUGCAAUUGCUUAGGUGAGGAAGACAGAAGACUUCAGAGGAAUCGAAGAUGACUCCUAGGUUUCUGGCUCGAACAACUAGGAAGAGGUUGGUGUCAAAUGCUAGGGAAGAAUUCUCUUUACCUCCUGUCUUAGUCAGUUUGGGCUGCUGUAAAAAAUGCUGUCAAAAUUUAUUUUCUCACAGUUCUGGAGCUUGAAAGUCCAUCAAGGUGUCAACAUUAUUGGUUUCUGGGUGAGGGCUCUCCUGGCUUGCAGACAGCCACCUGCUCCCUGUGUGCUCACAUAGCCUUUCCUUGGCGCUUACACCUGGGAGAGAGUGAGGAAACUCUCUGGUGUCUCUUAUUAAAAGAGCUUUAAUUCCAUUGGACCAGGACCCCACCGUCAUGACCUCGUCUCAUCCUAAUCACCUUCAAAGGCUGUGUCUCCAAAUACCAUCAACUGGGGAUUAGAGCUUCCACAAAUGAAUUUUGAGAGAACACAAACAUUUGAUUCAUAACACCUCCGUAUUAAUAAGAGAGAAAUAAUGAUGACGCGUAUCCUAGUCAUCUUCCUAUUCCAAUGGCUUUGAGCCUCUUUGAUUAUUUCAGGAGGUGGCUUGCAAGCACAUCUGUCUACAUUCGUUUUUCUUCCAUAAGAAAGAUAAAGGGGAAGAGGAGCCUCGGUAGGUGAGUUAGGGCUAAGCUAUGAGUUCAUAGUGAAGACUUUUGUGACACAAGCAUAAAAAACUAGGUUCCUAAGGACCCAGUCAAUGUGAGGCUUUGAACUAGAAACUGGGAUGUCCGCUGAGUCAGAGGCACCCUUACCCUCAAGGAUCUCACGACUUUGUAAAUACAUGGAGGAUUUUCUCAGGAAGUUAGCUGUUUGGACUCUCGUCUCAGGUCAUGAACAUCUUGCCUCUGAAUAUGAAGGUCCUUAAGUGUGACUCCAUCACUUUCCUGUCCAGGACUUCCUCAGGCAGGGGAUGGUCUGCUUACCUGACCCCUAAGUGGCUUGUUAGGAUGAAUCAUGUUCCAGUUCUCUAAGAGGGUUUAUGUGUUGGAAAGAAUAUUCUCUUUGAUCUCAUGGCUUAGAGUGCAUAGGCUUUGUCCAGUUAAUCAUGUAGCUGGCGUCAGGCUUUGCCAGUUUUUAUUUCUUUGAGGCUUUAUGGCAUUUAAAGGGUUGGAGACUGGCCCUGUAGCGAACAUGGUUUUGACUUCAACAGCAACUGAACCUUUUCUCCAGCUCUUUGAUAAUAAUUGAUUAGUCUAGAAGUCCAAGCAAAGGUGGGACUUUCUAAAGUGCCUCAGAUCUAAGGGGUGAUUGAAGGGGUGAGUCUUUAAUAAGGACGCACUCUCUCCUCUCCUCUCCUGAGUCAUUCCCACAUGGUUAAAAGAGCUCUCCCAAUAAAUUUGAUUUUGCCUUAGUGCUUUCCAUUUACAAAGUACAUUCAUUCCACUAUCAAUUUAACCUCUCAAAUCAGCCUUGAGAGGUAGAAAGAGCAAGGCAAAUGGGCUUAAUUUUGCAACAGAGAAAUUCUAACACUCAUUAAAUGAUUUGCUCAAUGUCUCAUGGGGUACGAGUUGUGAGAGGAGCUAACAUUUAUUGAGGGUCUGCUAUGUGACAGUUUCCUUGUAAACCCUAACUUAUAUAGUCUACAACUAACCCUGGGUGGGGGGUAGAUAUUAUUGUGCCCAGUUGAAAGAUGAAGACACUGAGUCAUGAGACAUUUAAAGAGCUAUUUCAAAGCCUCCCAGCCCUUAGAUAUUAAGCCAACAUUGACUUUCUAGUCUUCUGAGAGUCAGUCUGUUAUGCUGUUUAAACUCCUCAUGCCUGACUGUAAGAAGAUAAUAGUACACUAUUUAUGCUUAGUCAAAUCUGGGGUAAGAAGUGCCGUAAAAGGAAAAGAGGCCCAUUUUCCCUCUUUACAGAGAGAUUUGGAAAUUUGCUUUCCUUUACAUAUGAAAUGAAAGAAGACGCAGAGACAUGGACCAGCUGCUGCGUGUGCUUCUCUCUGAAGUCUGAGCCGAGAUUCCCUAAGCUUGACUGCAUCGCUUAAGACCACAGGCCAGGGCAGCAGCCCUUCUGCGAAAAAAGCCACCUUUUAACCGGCUUGUUCGUUUUCUUCUUCUUGCACACUCUGUGGUCUGGCAAGGAGCAGGGGGGCCUCAAUAGCAAAGCCCUCACAACAGCAAUCCUUCUCAGUUCCCACUCUGAGUGAACCCGGUUCAACUUCUCGGGCUAACAGAGAUUUUAAUCGAAAUGAACUGACAGAGAAUUUGCUAAGUCCAAGAACACACAGUCUCGAGGUGACUGGACAGGAACAGAAGCCUCUAAAAGCUGAAAGAAUGAGGCAAAGGCUUUCCCCUCGGCAGACUCUGGCCUCCCUUCUUGACACUUCCUCUUGGGCUCUGUGAGUGUUUGCCCAGGGUUAUUGGCGAUGUCAUUGGGUGUCAGCUGAUCGACAGCGAAAGGGAGAGGAGCUAGAGCUACUGCAGGCCAGGAGCACACACGCUGGAUCUCAUCUCAUCUCCAUCUAACUCCUAUGUGAAGUGGGCUGUUGGAACCCCUUUCCCACAUUUGAGGAAACUGAGGCUCUAAAACGUGCAGUACGUCGUCUAAGCUCCCUGGUCCUCCAGAUGACAACUGUGAGAGAUUGCUUGGAUGCUUGGGGACUUUGUGAAGUCAACAUUAUACAGCAGCCAGAGCAAAUGCCUCAGCUUCAAAGACACCUUCAAGAACCUGUCUUUUCCAUGCUCUGAGCAUGCCCAUGUAAAAUCCUCACCUUGGAGAAACUGAGGCCCUGGGAGGAUAAACAACUUGUGUGCAGGAAGGGGGUUAUCUGUGACCUGAACCUGUAUCUUCUGACACCAAAUCAGUGGCUCUGUCUGUCACACCAUUCAGCCAACAUUGACUGAGUUUUUCUCCAAUACCCAGCAUGGUGCCCAAUGAGGACUAAAAGAAGCAUAAUAUCAAUGGUCAGCUCUUGAAGAGCUUGGAUUCAAGAUAAAAUUUAAAAAGUUGAUAAUGUCAAGGGACAAAUGCUGAAAUGAAGGCCUAAGCAAAUGCCCUGGAAUCAUGGCAGAGAAUCCCUUGGGUCCUUAAACUCUGUGCCCAGGACAUCCCUGGCAGCCUGGAAAAAGUAUGGAUCUCUUCUGAAAGACAACCCACAUGCAGAUGCAGAACCUGGGGACCAGACAAGGCAGUAACCCUGGAAACCUAUUAACUAUAGGUGGAAAUAUAAAUAGCUUAGCUCAGCAUCCAGAGUUCUUCGUGGUCUUCACCCAACCUGCUGUUACAAACUUAACUCCUCCUCCUCUUCAGCUCACCAACUCUAGCUCAGCACAGCCCAGCCAACAUUUAUCAGGCCCUGCACUGCACCAAGAAACUGGAAAGGCAUUGGAGUUACUAGGAUGGACAAGAUUCAGACCAUUCCUUUGACAGGGACCAUAUUUGGUGUUUCUCAAGAAGGAGCAAUGUUACCCAAACAGGAAAGAGAGAAGACAGAUACAGCUUUCUGUCUCCUUCUCUUAGCUUGACGUUGUGUCUGGCCACACAGGCCAUGUGGGCUAUUUUUACUGACAGCAGUCACCAGCCCAUAUGGUUGCCAUUACCACAAAAUGUUACCUUCAUUGACACCAGUUUGCAAGUGAGUGGACGGCGGACAAGGAGGAUGUCGAGUCCACAUGGCCAGUCACAGGGCUCACAGGGUUUGCCUUGGCAGUGAGAAAACAGAAGCUGUGAGAGGCUGACUUUCCCAAGUCUGCGUGACUAGUAAGAAUCCAAGAUGGGAUUCAACCUCAGCUUCCUGGACUUCAGGCCAGAGCUCAAGCCUCAACAUUACGGCUGCCUCAGUGACUUGAAAGAAAACCGGGCAGGGCUUCUUCAAGGACAUAAGCUAGCAGCUCACAAUGGGGCCUGAUGGGACAUGUUGCAUCGAAACUAGAAGUUGGCAUUGAGAUCCAGCCUCACUGUGGCACUACAAAGCUGCCGCCACGUCAGCUGGAUGACACUGAAAUGGACGAGAACAAAAGGCUUUUUCCUGCAGUGUGUAAUGUCCCCUUACCAAGGCCCAGGAGCUAUUGUGAUGCACUGAGCGUAAAGCUUCCAGAGCAGUGAGUAGGUGAAAAGGAGAACUCUGGGCUGAGAAUGAGAUUUCAGGCAAAGGGAAGACAUCCUCCUUCCAUUGAGGUCAUAUCAAGAGCUUGGGUGAGGACCACAUAAGAAGAGACUACAAUCCCACUGGUCUGCAUAA
RNAcentral lists this long non-coding RNA (4786 nucleotides) under Homo sapiens (human). Its description in RNAcentral is "HSALNT0354370". The record is from RNAcentral. Lineage: Eukaryota; Metazoa; Chordata; Mammalia; Primates; Hominidae.